GAUGAACGCUGGCGGCGUGCCUAAUACAUGCAAGUCGAGCGAACGGACGAGAAGCUUGCUUCUCUGAUGUUAGCGGCGGACGGGUGAGUAACACGUGGAUAACCUACCUAUAAGACUGGGAUAACUUCGGGAAACCGGAGCUAAUACCGGAUAAUAUUUUGAACCGCAUGGUUCAAAAGUGAAAGACGGUCUUGCUGUCACUUAUAGAUGGAUCCGCGCUGCAUUAGCUAGUUGGUAAGGUAACGGCUUACCAAGGCAACGAUGCAUAGCCGACCUGAGAGGGGGAUCGGCAACACUGGAACUGAGACACGGACCAGAAGCCUACGGGAGGCAGCAGUAGGGAAUGUUCCGCAAUGGGCGAAAGCCUGACGGAGCAACGCCGCGUGAGUGAUGAAGGUCUUCGGAUCGUAAAACUCUGUUAUUAGGGAAGAACAUAUGUGUAAGUAACUGUGCACAUCUUGACGGUACCUAAUCAGAAAGCCACGGCUAACUACGUG
Molecule: ribosomal RNA, 497 nt
Filed under: uncultured bacterium
Lineage: Bacteria
Description: partial 16S ribosomal RNA
Rfam family: Bacterial small subunit ribosomal RNA
Source: RNAcentral